This 67-nucleotide transfer RNA is filed under the name Euciroa cf. queenslandica STW-2017. RNAcentral's name for it is "tRNA-Ser". Lineage: Eukaryota; Metazoa; Mollusca; Bivalvia; Euciroidae. The record is from RNAcentral.
GGGUAGGUAUAUAAAUUAUACAAUUGUUUUGAAAACAUAAGUAGGCUACUAAUAUAGCCCCUUCCCA